AAAUAAAAAAAAAUUAAAACAUACAUGAGAUACAAUUUAGAACAUAAAUAAUAUAAAACACAAAUGUUUUAAAUUUAAUUUCUGGAAUAUUUUGUCCAUAUAUGCUCGACCAAAUCAUUCUUCAAUUGUUGAUGCAUACCGCGAUCACGAACUCGAGCUCUAUUAUCGAAGAAAUUAGAAGGCAUAUAUGUAGAAUAUGUGAAUUCUAACCAUUAUCAAUCAACGAACGAAGCAUCAUCGAUCAUCGACUUGUUAUUACCAUUGUUAGUCAUAAUCAAUAUCGAAUCUGUUCACGAGAAACAAAAUCCAAAUUAUUAUACUAACAAAAUAUCAGAAAUUAAAAUUCACUAUAUUAUGCAAUAAUAAAUAAAUUAAACUGCAUAAAACCCAGAAUGUGAAUAAACCCAGUAAUAAUAGAUCGAGUUCUAAGCUUUAUCAAUGGACAAAAAAGCAUGAAUCAAUAACAACGUGAUUUUUCAAUACGAUUAACAAAACCACCAAAACCAAUGCCUUUGACUACACAAGUCGAUGAUAAAACAAAGAUGAUCGUUUUUUUUUUUUUUUUCAAUUUUUUGUUUCCACCACGAGUCUAUGAAAGACUCAAUAAAACAAAUAUCAAAUCCAAUUAUCAGAAUAAUCCACACAAGCAAAAAACCAUGACAAUUAGAUUGAAACAAAUUAAUUCAAAAGAUCCCUGCAAAUUAGAAAAAAUGCAGAAAAAGAACUAAUCAACCCAGAUAUGCAGCCAAAUUAAAAAUCGACAGCCUCCAAUCCUCCAUGGUUCGCGUGAAAAAGAGAGAGAGAGGGGAGGAGAAGAGAGAGAGGGAAAAGAGUAGAAUAAAAGCUUGACACGUGUAUGUCUCUUAUGUGAAUAAAAGCCUCUUAAGGAACGUUGCUUAGUGUUAAAGGAGAAAAU
RNAcentral lists this long non-coding RNA (916 nucleotides) under Arabidopsis lyrata. Its description in RNAcentral is "long non-coding RNA (ALYR_LNC000754)". The record is from RNAcentral. Lineage: Eukaryota; Viridiplantae; Streptophyta; Magnoliopsida; Brassicales; Brassicaceae.